GGGUUGUGAGGUUAAGCGACUAAGCGUACACGGUGGAUGCCCUGGCAGUCAGAGGCGAUGAAGGACGUGCUAAUCUGCGAAAAGCGUCGGUAAGGUGAUAUGAACCGUUACAGCCGGCGAUGUCCGAAUGGGGAAACCCAGUGCAAUUCGUUGCACUAUCGUUAACUGAAUACAUAGGUUAACGAGGCGAACCGGGGGAACUGAAACAUCUAAGUACCCCGAGGAAAAGAAAUCAACCGAGAUUCCCCCAGUAGCGGCGAGCGAACGGGGAGCAGCCCAGAGUCUGAAUCAGCUUGUGUGUUAGUGGAACGGUCUGGAAAGUCCGACGGUACAGGGUGAUAGUCCCGUACACCAAAAUGCACAGGUUGUGAACUCGAAGAGUAGGGCGGGACACGUGGUAUCCUGUCUGAAUAUGGGGGGACCAUCCUCCAAGGCUAAAUACUCCUGACUGACCGAUAGUGAACCAGUACCGUGAGGGAAAGGCGAAAAGAACCCCGGCGAGGGGAGUGAAAAAGAACCUGAAACCGUGUACGUACAAGCAGUGGGAGCACCUU
Molecule: ribosomal RNA, 554 nt
Filed under: Klebsiella aerogenes
Lineage: Bacteria; Pseudomonadati; Pseudomonadota; Gammaproteobacteria; Enterobacterales; Enterobacteriaceae
Also listed under: 1 other name
Description: partial 23S ribosomal RNA
Rfam family: Bacterial large subunit ribosomal RNA
Source: RNAcentral